GCCUACUUAAUCCUUCUCUCAUUUCUUUCCAUUACCUAUUCCUCUAGAAGGAUUCUGACUCUCAGAAGACUGAAUAUCACCCAGUACAGGCAACUGGUAAGACCCGAAGAUAAAAUUCACAGCUGUGUGUGUGUGUGUGUGUGUGUGUGUUAUACACAUUUUGUUGCUUCAGUUUGAUUUAUCAGAUUUAUAACAUAAUCAUUUAUUUUAAUUCUCUGGUC
Molecule: long non-coding RNA, 221 nt
Filed under: Dasypus novemcinctus (nine-banded armadillo)
Lineage: Eukaryota; Metazoa; Chordata; Mammalia; Cingulata; Dasypodidae
Description: lncRNA (ENSDNOG00000052183.1)
Source: RNAcentral